This is a long non-coding RNA of Haliotis rubra (blacklip abalone), 3829 nucleotides long. RefSeq lists it as uncharacterized. The record is from RefSeq and is a predicted model, not a curated record. Lineage: Eukaryota; Metazoa; Mollusca; Gastropoda; Lepetellida; Haliotidae. The transcript has 2 exons.
UCCAAAACCUACGUCAGGGAUUUCGCGUGAGGAAACGAGUACUGUGAGCUGUUGGGAAAUUUCGUCAAACAACUCAACUUCUGGUUGGCUUUUUAUCAAAUUAAAAUGGGAUGCAAAUCUAAUCCCAAGGACACAGACAUGCAAAAGGAGGGUCCACAACAGGAAGAUGUUGUCACAGACUGUGAAUCCCACACAUCACAUGCAACUAGGCAUGACACUAGUCCACCGUUCACUGUGCCAAACACCAACGUAUCAAGUGGUAGCAAUAACACACUCUCAGUGCCAACAACCCCUGUCCGAUCAGCACAACAACAUAUGCACCAUAGCUCAACCGAUCCUCAUAUGCAUGGCCCUCGUCCCCAUAGUGCUCACUACCACCAUCAACUGGUGGGCCGGCUUCUACGAGUGAUGGGUGAUAAUUAUUGUUAUAGUUGUGGUAUAGCACUGCGGCAGAUGGGUGACGAACUAUCAGGGGAAUAUGAAGUCCGGAGGGCAUUCAGUACGGGAGACUUGCCCAGUUCCAUAAAAAAUUCCUGACAAUCCAAUGUGCCAGUGUUUUAUUGAGUGAUCAUAUUUUCAUAAUUCCUGCUGUGAAGCUCCUCAUCCAGACACGAAGACAUUGGUGCCAGCCUUGACCUGUGUACGGGAGAUCUCAGAUGCCAAAUUAGAGAAUGUGCAUUGUUUAUAUGACUGAGACCAUUUUUGCAUCAAUUAUGUGUGUCAAGUUUUAAUUUAUUGAAAUGGCCAAAUGAUGCUGAUGGUUGUGUUUCUGUUGAACUUUGAGCUGACCAUGCUUGCAAACUACAAGGUCAAACAGACGUUGCUGCCAGUGUGUUGGUAGCCAGUAACUUAUUCUCAUGAAUGUUACACAGUAUUGCUAUUUUGCCUAUUCAUUUUUACAUUGGUGUGUUUGUUGAUAUGUAUGCAGUGGGUACGAGGCUAUCCAGAAGACAAUGUUUAUAAAUAAAAAAUAUCUGAUACUGUGUACCCAACUAAUGUAACAAGUGAUUUGAUAUAUUCUAUUAAAUAUGCAUUUUGCCAAAAAAAUAAUUGAUUUUGUAUUUUUGAUGAAAUAUUAGGAUUGAAUGAAAGUGAUGAUAUGUACCUUAAUACUAGAGUUUCAUGUUAGUCACAAACAUUACUUAUUUCUGAGCAUAAAUAUUUCUUUUUGAAGUGAAAUUAAUGAUGAGAAAAUAUAGUAAUUGGCAGAUAAAUAUUCUUUUUGAAAGUCUUGAUCCACAGUUAUUUAGUUGAAAUUUGUAUUCAUAAAUAUUCACUGUGUUGAAUAUCUUCAAAUUUACAAAAUAGUCAAUCUGCAUAUUAACUGUCUGUUUUACUGUAUUUUCGUGAAGAAAGUGGCUUUCUACCUAAUAGUACUAUUGAUACUAUUCUAAUAGAACUGAACCAAGAAAACUGUAACAGAGUACUACAUGGUUUUAAAUUUAUUAUCAUGAUGUCAUAUUUUUGUUUAUUUCUUGAAAGAGGAAACUGUGAAUUCCUCAAUGACCAUAUCAACUCGUAAGUGCUAACAUGUCAUAGAGACCCUGAUAAAAGGUAUACCUGAAUUUAAUUCUCCAAACCAUCCCGUAUUUUGUCUUGUACAUCGACAUUGAUGCACUGCAGGCCGUAUCAUGGCGGUUGUAGCUAAUGUAUUGUUGUUGUAAGCACCCUGGAUACUAGGAACAUUGACGAAGGAGUGUUUAUUAAAGCCAUACAUAGAUAGAUUUGUUGUCAGAGAUCAAGUGGUUGCAAUGAAAUGUAUUUAAAAUGUUUUUAAAUUCUGAAACUGAAACCAUUUCGUAAUUAGUUUGUUACCUCUAUGUACUAAUUUUUCACAUAAAAAUGUGUAAUAUACACUAGACAAUAUCAACUGUCAAGUGAAUAAUAUGUGGUGCUUAUGGAGGUUAGUUUUUGAGUGAUAGAUCCUGGGGUGUUUAUUUGAGUUUGGGGCUUGAUACAUGCUUUUGAGAGCAGGUUGUUACAGCAAAUUGUAUUGUUUAGUAUCUUUUAGAGACCAUUUUUUAUUUUACUGUUUGUCAUCACCACUCAUCUAGUGGUUAUUAAAAUCAAAACAAAUAUAUUUCAUUCCCACCUAUCAUACUCAUUCCAACUUGAAACUGUUAAUACCUAUAACAAACUGCUUUGAAAUGCAGUUAGAAACUCUGGAGUUAUGUCCCCUGAUAUUAUGUUUCCAUGUCUUUGUCAUACACUACUACUGAGGCCUUGUGAAGGAUAAAUAUGAAGAGAAUGAGGAAGUCAGUCUCUCCCAAAUUUGGACCUUUCAAUAUUAAAACUGAAAAUAGGUGUAGGAAGUUCCCAGUAUAUGUGUUGGAAGCAAGAAGGAAAAGUUCCCUUAAACAACACAAGGCCAGUUGAACAUUAUUAAUAGCUGUUAGUAAACUAGCACUUUGGGUAUUCUUGAUGAUGAUGAUGUGUUUAUGAUGAUUAUGACCUGACGCUUGCUCAUACUCAAGUGGCAUCAUAUUGCCACUGUGCAAUACAAGUCUUCCACCCAGCUGGAGCAACGCUGAUGUGAUGCUUGUUAUGUGGGAAAGAAAUCACUGUAGUCAUUUCACUACAUGACAUUCACCAUACAUAGUAAGCUUAGCUAUUGUCCAUGUGUCAGUGACCUGGACAGUCUUAUGGCAUCAGACAAAUGUGACAGAAUAACCUGAUAAUAAGACCAUUCCUUUUAUGUAAAUAUCUCGGUAGCCGUUAAAUGGCAAAUAUGGCUGGCUUGAUUCUGGCAUUUUAUUGUGCUUGUUCCUUCAAUUGGAAUAAAAGAUACAAGUCCUUUGUGGUUGACCUCAUUGAAAUUUCAAUGAUAAUUUAAUUUCUGCAGGGAUGUAAUUUUAAAAAAAAUGACUGACGUGUAUUGUCAUGUUUCUAAAUACUUUCAAAUGUUGUAAAGUCAAGAUUAUUGAUGGUCCAUGUCAGGGUAGUUAUGUUGAAAAGUGAAGUUAUUCUGGCAAGUGAUAUAAUUACUGAUAAUAUAACCUGUUUCUUAAAACAGGACGUGUUGCCAAAAAUAAUUGAUCAGGAAGAGAACAUUUUGUGAUCAGAUUGACAGACAAAGAAACAGAUUUAAUUUUACUGUAAGAUAGAAGAGUAUUACAAGACAACUUCUAGAUCAAAGAAUUAAUGUGAAAUACUGGUUAUCUGGCUGGUACAGUACUUUUGAAGUUGCUCCAAAUUCAUGGAGAAAUCAUAGUUUAGAGUUACAUCCAUUGUAAUUUACAUUUGUGUUGCCAAAUCAUGGCCCAGAAUAAUUGGUCUCUAGACCUGAGAGUGUCGAAUAACGGGUUUCACUGUGAUCUAUUUUUGACAAAGGAAAUCUCUGUAUUUUAGUCAUAACACUGGUAUUGUUUUCCAUUAAGUGAUUACUGAACAAUUGAAACAUUGAUUUGAAAUUGAAUGGACUUAAUUAUUAUAUCAGUGAAUUGUAACUAGUUCAUCAUGAACAAUCAGUACUUGUGAAAUAAGUUUCUCUUCCUUUGUUGAUGUGUUAUGACAUGCUUCCUGAUUAUUGAUACAUGUUCUCAGUUCCAAGAACUGGUUACCAUGGUUACGAAUGGCUUGUUUGAUCUUGCAGUAUUUGAAGUACAUAGAUAUCCCCUUUAAGGUGUGGUAUUCAUAGUGUUUCUGUAAAUAAAACAAAUUUGUUUUGAAGUGAUGGAAUGAUUCCUAUUGCAAAUAAAUAUUCAUAUCAUCCUACUUCCACAUAUAUUUUUUGUCUUCUUGAUCAAGGAAGAAGUGCAGUUACUGUACAGCACAAAAGGAAUGUCAUUUUUGAAUUUUUACAAAAAUAAAUACAUUUUCUAAAAAGGUU